This 1721-nucleotide ribosomal RNA is filed under the name Halomonas denitrificans. RNAcentral describes it as "partial 23S ribosomal RNA". It matches the Rfam family "Bacterial large subunit ribosomal RNA", at positions 1224 to 2925 of the family's 2925-position model. The record is from RNAcentral. Lineage: Bacteria; Pseudomonadati; Pseudomonadota; Gammaproteobacteria; Oceanospirillales; Halomonadaceae. RNAcentral also lists the same sequence under 2 other names.
AGCGGUAGAGGAGCGUCGUGUAAGCCGAUGAAGGUGUGUUGAGAAGCAUGCUGGAGGUAUCACGAGUGCGAAUGCUGACAUGAGUAACGACAAGGGGAGUGAAAAACUCCCCCGCCGGAAGACCAAGGGUUUCUGUUCGACGCUAAUCGGAGCAGAGUGAGUCGGCCCCUAAGGCGAGGCCGAAAGGCGUAGUCGAUGGGAAACGGGUCAAUAUUCCCGUACCUCACAGUAUUGCGAUGGGGGGACGAAGAAGGCUAGGUGAGCCAGGCGUUGGUUGUCCUGGUGAAAGCCAGUAGGCUGAGGGUUCAGGAAAAUCCGGACCCUUAAGGCCGAGAGGCGAGACGAACUGACUACGGUCAGGAAGUCAUCGAUGCCACGCUUCCAGGAAAAGCCUCUAAGCUUCAGAUACUGUGGGACCGUACCCCAAACCGACACAGGUGGUCAGGUAGAGAAUACCAAGGCGCUUGAGAGAACUCGGGUGAAGGAACUAGGCAAAAUGGUGCCGUAACUUCGGGAGAAGGCACGCCGCAUUAGGGUGAAGGUCCUCGCGACCGGAGCCUGACGCGGUCGAAGAUACCAGGUGGCUGCAACUGUUUAUUAAAAACACAGCACUCUGCAAACGCGCAAGCGGACGUAUAGGGUGUGACGCCUGCCCGGUGCCGGAAGGUUAAGUGAUGGUGUUAGCUCACGCGAAGCUCCUGAUCGAAGCCCCGGUAAACGGCGGCCGUAACUAUAACGGUCCUAAGGUAGCGAAAUUCCUUGUCGGGUAAGUUCCGACCUGCACGAAUGGCGUAAUGAUGGCCACGCUGUCUCCACCCGAGACUCAGUGAAAUUGAAAUCGCAGUGAAGAUGCUGUGUACCCGCGGCUAGACGGAAAGACCCCGUGAACCUUUACUACAGCUUCACACUGGACGCUGAUGUUGCUUGUGUAGGAUAGCUGGGAGGCUUUGAAACCCUGUCGCCAGAUGGGGUGGAGCCAACCUUGAAAUACCAGCCUGGCAUCAUUGGCGUUCUAACUCAGGACCGUAAUCCGGUUCGAGGACCGUGUGUGGUGGGUAGUUUGACUGGGGCGGUCUCCUCCCAAAGAGUAACGGAGGAGCACGAAGGUACCCUCAGCACGGUUGGAAAUCGUGCAUUGAGUGCAAGAGCAUAAGGGUGCUUAACUGCGAGACAGACACGUCGAGCAGGUACGAAAGUAGGUUCUAGUGAUCCGGUGGUUCUGUAUGGAAGGGCCAUCGCUCAACGGAUAAAAGGUACUCCGGGGAUAACAGGCUGAUACCGCCCAAGAGUUCACAUCGACGGCGGUGUUUGGCACCUCGAUGUCGGCUCAUCACAUCCUGGGGCUGAAGUCGGUCCCAAGGGUAUGGCUGUUCGCCAUUUAAAGUGGUACGCGAGCUGGGUUUAGAACGUCGUGAGACAGUUCGGUCCCUAUCUGCCGUGGGCGUUGGAGAUUUGAGAAGUGCUGCUCCUAGUACGAGAGGACCGGAGUGGACGUACCUCUGGUGUUCCGGUUGUCAUGCCAAUGGCAUUGCCGGGUAGCUAUGUACGGACGGGAUAACCGCUGAAAGCAUCUAAGCGGGAAGCCCCCUUCAAGAUGAGAUCUCCCUGAGGCCUUGAGCCUCCUAAAGGACCCAGCAAGACCAGCUGGUUGAUAGGCCGGGUGUGGAAGCGCUGCAAGGCGUUGAGCUAACCGGUACUAAUGGUCCGUGAGGCUUGACCAU